GUGAUCGGAGCCUGGCCGCGGCGUGAUCGGGCAGGGCGGGACGCGGCACGUGUUUUGGUCGGAGCGAGGGGCGGGGCCUGAGGCCCUGGAAAGAAUGCGUCCUUGACCGGAGAGGUCGGAAAGCUGGCCGGUUCUAGGUGACAUUCCUGCAUCCGGUCAUUUUUGCAGACAGCGGGAGUCAGAGCUUAUUGGCCUGAGUGUCCCGCUGACGCCCCUCCUCUGGCGUCUCUGGGCCUCUUCCGCUCUGUUACGGGGUCAGGGGAAGCCGAAACGGGCAGUCACCCAGAAGGCGCCCGCUGAAACCCGCCCAUUCUUCCCAGGCCCCGAGAAAACGCCGCCCCCUCCGGGAAGUCCUCGAGCCUGCAGGAGACAUCUAGCCCGCUGUCCAGGGCACCUUUUUUUUUCUCCCUAUAUUUCGGUUGCUCGCGUCUCUUGGUGUGGUUUGCCCACGUCUGCAGCGCCAGAAGGACUCUCCCAAGGCCAGGGAGCCUGGCUGUUUAAUAAGUCCACGUAGGUGAACGAGCGAAUCGAAGGUAUCCACCAGCCUCCCUGCUUGAACAUCC
Molecule: long non-coding RNA, 563 nt
Organism: Homo sapiens (human)
Lineage: Eukaryota; Metazoa; Chordata; Mammalia; Primates; Hominidae
Gene: KLF11-DT
Product: KLF11 divergent transcript
Exons: 3
Source: RefSeq, marked validated